Molecule: long non-coding RNA, 206 nt
Filed under: Solanum tuberosum (potato)
Lineage: Eukaryota; Viridiplantae; Streptophyta; Magnoliopsida; Solanales; Solanaceae
Description: long non-coding RNA (STUB_LNC010781)
Source: RNAcentral
CACCAAAUAAUUGAAACUUGAAAGAAUACUUUUUCUGAAAUAGAAACAUAAUUCAUUUACUACAGAUUCUAGGUAUUUCCUGCAAGUAACAAUGCUACACAAGCAACUAUAGGAAUUAAGAAAAGCAUAUUUUCUUACAAAUCUAAAAUACUUCGAGUAAAUCUCAUACAUGUGAUUAGUUUUCCUCGGUAAGGUCAGAUGUCAAG